UAACAUACAUACAGAGGGCCUGAAGGGUAGCUGGUCAUCACCGAUUCAAGUUCCCGGCUGCUCUUUCUCUCGUACUAUAUGGGUUUUUCUUUCUUUUUUUAAAAGCUCAUAUUAUGCGUUUCAUUUAUGUGUGUGGGUGUUUUGUCUUCAUGUAUGCCUGUACAACACAUAUGUGCCUGGUGUCUGAGGAGACCAGAAGAGGACUUCAGAUCCCCCAGGACUGGAGUUAGAGACACUGUAAACACUCUCCAAACCAGAAAAUUUUGGCUAGGACAUAGCUCUGUGCUAGAGACUCACUCACAUGCAGGAAGCUGUGGAUUUGAUCUGUCCCCGGGCGGAAGAGUGGUAGAUCAUGAAUUCUGUCUGAAGAACUUAUGAACAGCUGUGGAGUUUUCCUGUCCCAACCGCCAGCUCCAAAAUAACCACAAAGAGGCUUAAUAUUACUUAUAAAUUCUAAACUGACAUGUGAAUCACGACUGGAUGGACAAAAGAAGGCUGCUAGGAGACUGGUCAUGUUUUUAUCUUGAUCUUGGGUACUUACUGGGUCAUGCUCACACUGUAGAACUUUACAAGCUGGCCCCUCAUUAUCCACAUAAUUCUCUGUAUGUGCGUUAUUAAUUAAUAAGAACGUCACUCUA
Long non-coding RNA from Peromyscus eremicus (cactus mouse), 638 nucleotides. RefSeq lists it as uncharacterized. The transcript has 4 exons. The record is from RefSeq and is a predicted model, not a curated record. NCBI's taxonomy places the organism in Eukaryota, Metazoa, Chordata, Mammalia, Rodentia, Cricetidae.